CGGUAACAGGAAGCAGCUUGCUGCUUCGCUGACGAGUGGCGGACGGGUGAGUAAUGUCUGGGAAGCUGCCUGAUGGAGGGGGAUAACUACUGGAAACGGUAGCUAAUACCGCAUAAUGUCGCAAGACCAAAGAGGGGGACCUUCGGGCCUCUUGCCAUCGGAUGUGCCCAGAUGGGAUUAGCUUGUUGGUGGGGUAACGGCUCACCAAGGCGACGAUCCCUAGCUGGUCUGAGAGGAUGACCAGCCACACUGGAACUGAGACACGGUCCAGACUCCUACGGGAGGCAGCAGUGGGGAAUAUUGCACAAUGGGCGCAAGCCUGAUGCAGCCAUGCCGCGUGUAUGAAGAAGGCCUUCGGGUUGUAAAGUACUUUCAGCGGGGAGGAAGGGAGUAAAGUUAAUACCUUUGCUCAUUGACGUUACCCGCAGAAGAAGCACCGGCUAACUCCGUGCCAGCAGCCGCGGUAAUACGGAGGGUGCAAGCGUUAAUCGGAAUUACUGGGCGUAAAGCGCACGCAGGCGGUUUGUUAAGUCAGAUGUGAAAUCCCCGGGCUCAACCUGGGAACUGCAUCUGAUACUGGCAAGCUUGAGUCUCGUAGAGGGGGGUAGAAUUCCAGGUGUAGCGGUGAAAUGCGUAGAGAUCUGGAGGAAUACCGGUGGCGAAGGCGGCCCCCUGGACGAAGACUGACGCUCAGGUGCGAAAGCGUGGGAGCAAACAGGAUUAGAUACCCUGGUAGUCCACGCCGUAAACGAUGUCGACUUGGAGGUUGUGCCCUUGAGGCGUGGCUUCCGGAGCUAACGCGUUAAGUCGACCGCCUGGGGAGUACGGCCGCAAGGUUAAAACUCAAAUGAAUUGACGGGGGCCCGCACAAGCGGUGGAGCAUGUGGUUUAAUUCGAUGCAACGCGAAGAACCUUACCUGGUCUUGACAUCCACGGAAGUUUUCAGAGAUGAGAAUGUGCCUUCGGGAACCGUGAGACAGGUGCUGCAUGGCUGUCGUCAGCUCGUGUUGUGAAAUGUUGGGUUAAGUCCCGCAACGAGCGCAACCCUUAUCCUUUGUUGCCAGCGGUCCGGCCGGGAACUCAAAGGAGACUGCCAGUGAUAAACUGGAGGAAGGUGGGGAUGACGUCAAGUCAUCAUGGCCCUUACGACCAGGGCUACACACGUGCUACAAUGGCGCAUACAAAGAGAAGCGACCUCGCGAGAGCAAGCGGACCUCAUAAAGUGCGUCGUAGUCCGGAUUGGAGUCUGCAACUCGACUCCAUGAAGUCGGAAUCGCUAGUAAUCGUGGAUCAGAAUGCCACGGUGAAUACGUUCCCGGGCCUUGUACACACCGCCCGUCACACCAUGGGAGUGGGUUGCAAAAGAAGUAGGUAGCUUAACCUUCGGGAGGGCGCUUACCACUUUGUGAUUCAUGACUGGGGUGAAGUCGGAACAAGGUA
Molecule: ribosomal RNA, 1440 nt
Filed under: metagenome
Description: bacterial SSU rRNA
Rfam family: Bacterial small subunit ribosomal RNA
Source: RNAcentral